This is a long non-coding RNA of Helianthus annuus (common sunflower), 3605 nucleotides long. RefSeq lists it as uncharacterized. The transcript has 7 exons. The record is from RefSeq and is a predicted model, not a curated record. Lineage: Eukaryota; Viridiplantae; Streptophyta; Magnoliopsida; Asterales; Asteraceae.
UCAUUCUUAGCCAAUUAUGUCCGUUUAAAUUCCCUUAACCGCUAUUGUAGCAGUUCUCAGCGGUUUCAAUGGCUGGCGGUUAAGUCCACAUUUUCCUGUCCAUCUUCCCCACAAAUAACUGCUAUGGUAGCAUUUCUUAGCAGUUUUGUUGCAUGUUAAUAAUUCCCCCUUUCCGGACCAGUUACAACUUACAAGCAGUUAUGGUGCCCUUUUUACCACCCACCUCGCUGGUAACCUCCAUCCAAUAUAAACUCCCCACAUCUCACUUUUUGUGGAUGUGUUGAUGAAGAAUAAAGGAGAGAGAGGGAGAGAAGGAACUCCGGCGACACCAUCACCGCCCCAUCUGCUCUAUGCCCUGUGCUUCUACCGCCUUUUCUCUCACAGUGAAAUUGGGAGAAGAACAAGAGUAUGAUCGGAAGAUUAUGAGGUGCACACAACCAUAUGACAGAUUUAUAGGGUUUCUAAACAAGAACAAGAGGAAUGACCGGAACAUCAAAAAUCGAUCAUCAUGAAUGUGUAUGUACCAGUACAUCGUUUUCUUAUCUUUUCUCAAUAUUUUCUUCUCAAAAUGCAUUAAUUCUUCACUUUUCUAUUUGGCACCUAAAGUGACUUGCAACCAGAAUAUAAACCGCAGAAAGGUUAUACCAUAGCGUUUGUUUCAAACUCUCAAUUUCUGGGGCAUAUGUCUGGUUGCAAAUUUGAAAGACCUAUUAGCCGAAAGAGGGGCAUGUGGGGUGUUUAUCGCUUAUUUGGACAACAAGGGGUCUGACCAAACAGUUCAAGAUGCACUUACAGCUCUUGGAUGUAGGGAACAUAUGGGUGGGUGGGGGCCUGAUAAUGGUUCGGGUGAUAGGUCGGGUGUGAUGACUUCAAUUCUAUGGGAAUUUUUCAAUAACUGGGCUGGAAAGGAAACCACCGCAGUUAUGGAAGGAGAGUAAAAUGUUUCAUGCUGUUCGCCAUUUUUUACGGCCUGGGGCAAAAAAGUUUGGAUUAAAACCACCAUAGGAAAAGUUUGAAUUUGUAAAAUCAUCAACUAUUACUUUUUUUUCUAAUAAAAGAAGCUUCUUAAAGCAACCAGAGGAAAACUGCCAAUAAUUGCUGGUUGGAUUUGAAUCUCAUCUCAUCUAAUCUUCGUUCAGAACUUCAGUUUUCGGUUUUCGACGAGCAAGCACCACCCCGUUAGGAAUCCUAAAGUUUCCUUGAUACUGAUACUCGAUCAGUAGGAGAAAAAGGUAAAUCCGUGUCAGCUCGCUCAUUCCGAUAAUCAAAAGCCUCCCGGAGUUCAAUCGCUACACCCACGCCCUCAAGGUCUGUGUACUGUUACUUCCUCAAGUUCAUAUUCUGGUGAUGUACAUUAUUUUUUUUCGAAUAUUGAAAUUUAUAGAUUAUUGCCACAUUGAAGCUUUGUGAUUGUCAUGGUUGAAUAUGUAUGGGGCAUAUAUAAUAGUAAGUUAUUUAAAAAUGAUAUUUAUGGCAUGCGACCUAUUGGUAGCAACAAUGAAAGCUGUAUAAUGUAUUUUGAUCUAUUACCUUACGGCUUAAACUCUUACCUUUCUUAAUAGGAGGCAUUGAGAGUUUGUCUUUCGGUUUGAAAACAGGGCAAAGUUUAUCUAAUACCAAAUGUGAUUUUUGAUUCAUGUUUAUUUUGUCUAAAAGGACUCUAACUGUGUGACAGAUAACAUUUUGUCCAUCGGCCUCAAAUCAAUAGAUAAGUGGUUGAUUCUACUUUUAGAGUGUAAUUUAUGCUUCUGUAGCUUUAUUUGAUAGUGUGUUCCCAGCUGUGCCAUUUCUUUCUUAAGAUAUGUGUAGAUUACUUGAGAAAUAUGUCCGACGAAGUGGCGAUGAGGUGUUUGUUUGUAGGACCUUAAAGAUUGAUGUCAACCGAGUGACAAAACAGAAUUGAAAGUGAUAAAUGCUUAGAGGCGUGCGGUCUUGCCAGUAUUGUUCUCGCAAUCUCAUCUGAUUCCCUUCCCGGCUCCCCGUUCAUACAGAAUCUAUGCUCGACUUAGUGUUAGAAUGGUUGUCCCAACAUUUUUUAUCUCUACUUCAGUCUCACUGCUGGUGAAGGUAAUGACAAAUUUUGACUUUAUUAACAUAUGUUUGACUCUACUUAACCUUCAUAUCUAUUAUAUGAAAAACUGUAUAUUUUCCGAGCCUAUGUAAAACACAAGGAGAUAGUAAAAGAGAGGGAUGAGUGAAAUCAGGAGCUUGCUCUACAUAGCACUUGAACCCACAGUCUCUGCAAAACUUAUGGUUAAUGGUUCCCCGGUCGAGGCUCCAUCUCCCACUGGCUCCUAUUAGUUACUAAAUCUUCUAGAAGGGGAGGUUGGCAGCAGUUAGGCACUCUCUCAUCUAGCUCUUUUUUCUCCGGACAAGUUAUGUAGUUACGUGGUUUCAUCCCCCCACUCUCCUCAUUACUCCACCCGACCUUCAAUGAAUUUUGCAAUCGGUGAAUCGAUAUCUGAUCGCUGAUUGAAGAUUUUUUUUUAACUCCAGCAAAGAAAAAGUUAAACCAAACGGUUCAACAUCCAAGUUUUCAUGUCCGAUUGAAGUUAUGAAGAGGGCAAAACCCCAAUUGAUUGAAAUUUUGGGGCUGCAUCUAAAGGAAUUUGUUUCUUUUCUUCGUCUUCACCUGUCCAACUUUCUUCGUCGUCAUAUAAUCUGAUCCUCCCUCUUCUCUCUCCUUUCUUCAGGUAUGUUUUGCUUUUCGUUGUUUCAAAGGUUUUUUUCUCAUAGAUUGAUAUGUUUAGCUUAUGUAUUCAUCGUAGUUAUUGGCAAGUUUUUAUUGAUCCAUUUUGUGUUUAUGGUUUUGCAUCUCUGUUUUUAAUUUUUGAGUUAAGUGAAUCCCAGGUAAGAAGAUAGAGCUUCGAACAUCUGAGAAGGGGCAGGACGAAAUGCACGUCAAAUUUAAAUCCGGUCAAGCUGAGGGGCAGGAGCAGGAGCAAAUGCACUGACUGCAUUUAAAUCUGAUGAAGCUAGGUGUAAUACCCCAGACUUUCAAAGAUAAGCGACCCCUGAUUUGACUAUUCAGUGUGCGAAUUGGAAUCCGGGAUCAAAGAUGGAAAAUUUGGAUUUUGAGGGUCAUAACGGACCGUCACUAUUGAUAUAACGACUUUUAUGAGAUUUUGAGUGGCCGCGUACCAUGUGGAAAAGGCUUGGUAACGGACCGUUACCAAAACCAUAAUGGUCCGUUACGGAAUGGCUAAGGGCAUAGCCAGGAGGUGACACGUGUCUGGAUGACUAAUCAUCGGUAACGUACCAUCACUGUCACGGUCCAUUUCGUGUCCACAGUGCAGAUAUUAGUCCACAAGACUCCACCCUUUUGUAUGAUGUCGUGGAAGUCCGGUAUGCCACACCAUACUCAAGAAGAUGCGGAAACUCAAUAUCAUUGUUACAUAGUAACUCGCCAGGGAUUGAAAUAUAAAUGCUCACUUUCUUUAAUAAUAAAAUUAACAUUACUUGGUUAGAAUCACACGGUGAUGUGUGAUUCUUAGUCGUAGUCAACUAGCAUACAAUGACAUUGAUUAGAAUAUUUGGCUAUAUUGAAUAAGUCUAAUGAACCUAGAACAAUGUACUUAAUAUAUUACUUGAAUUUUUUGUUGUUA